UCCUGGCUUAGAACGAACGCUGGCGGCGCGUUUAAGCAUGCAAGUCGAGCGGCAAGGGCCUUCGGGCCCCUAGAGCGGCGGACGGGUGAGUAACACGUGGACAAUCUGCCCCCCGGCCCGGGAUAGCCCAGGGAAACCUGGAUUAAUACCGGAUGAGACGGGACCCGCGAUGGCGGGACCCGGGAAAGGCGCUGCGGCGCCGCCGGGGGAUGAGUCUGCGUCCCAUUAGCUAGACGGCGGGGUAACGGCCCACCGUGGCGACGAUGGGUAGCCGGCCUGAGAGGGUGGACGGCCACAUUGGAACUGAGACACGGUCCAGACUCCUACGGGAGGCAGCAGCUAAGAAUCUUCCGCAAUGGGCGAAAGCCUGACGGAGCCGACGCCGCGUGAACGAAGAAGGCCGUGAGGUUGUAAAGUUCUUUUCGGGAGGGGAACAACCGUGGCAGGGAAUGGCCGCGGGAUGACGUGAAUCCCGGAAUAAGCCCCGGCUAACUACGUGCCAGCCGCAGC
This 510-nucleotide ribosomal RNA is filed under the name uncultured bacterium. RNAcentral's name for it is "bacterial SSU rRNA". It matches the Rfam family "Bacterial small subunit ribosomal RNA", at positions 17 to 518 of the family's 1533-position model. The record is from RNAcentral.